AGAGUUUGAUCCUGGCUCAGGACGAACGCUGGCGGCGUGCUUAACACAUGCAAGUCGAACGAUGAUGCUGGAGCUUGCUCCAGUUGAUUAGUGGCGAACGGGUGAGUAACACGUGAGCAAUCUGCCCUUGACUCUGGGAUAACUGCGGGAAACUGUAGCUAAUACCGGAUACUUUCACCGGAAGGCAUCUUCUGGUGAUGAAAGAAUUUCGGUCAGGGAUGAGCUCGCGGCCUAUCAGCUUGUUGGUGAGGUAACGGCUCACCAAGGCGACGACGGGUAACCGGCCUGAGAGGGUGACCGGUCACACUGGGACUGAGACACGGCCCAGACUCCUACGGGAGGCAGCAGUGGGGAAUAUUGCACAAUGGGCGCAAGCCUGAUGCAGCAACGCCGCGUGAGGGAUGAAGGCCUUCGGGUUGUAAACCUCUUUUAGCAGGGAAGAAGCGAAAGUGACGGUACCUGCAGAAAAAGCACCGGCUAACUACGUGCCAGCAGCCGCGGUAAUACGUAGGGUGCAAGCGUUGUCCGGGAAUUAUUGGGCGUAAAGAGCUCGUAGGCGGUUUGUCACGUCUGCUGUGAAAAUCCAAGGCUCAACCUUGGACUUGCAGUGGGUACGGGCAGGCUAGAGUGCGGUAGGGGAGAUGGGAAUUCCUGGUGUAGCGGUGGAAUGCGCAGAUAUCAGGAGGAACACCAAUGGCGAAGGCACAUCUCUGGGCCGUAACUGACGCUGAGGAGCGAAAGCGUGGGGAGCAAACAGGAUUAGAUACCCUGGUAGUCCACGCCGUAAACGGUGGGUGCUAGCUGUGGGCCACAUUCCACGUGGUCCGUAACGAAGUUAACACAUUAAGCACCCCGCCUGGGGAGUACGGCCGCAAGGCUAAAACUCAAAGGAUUUGACGGGGGCCCGCACAAGCGGCGGAGCAUGCGGAUUAAUUCGAUGCAACGCGAAGAACCUUACCAAGGCUUGACAUGUAGAGGAAAAGUGCAGAGAUGCACUCCCCGCAAGGUCUCUACACAGGUGGUGCAUGGUUGUCGUCAGCUCGUGUCGUGAGAUGUUGGGUUAAGUCCCGCAACGAGCGCAACCCUCGUCCUAUGUUGCCAGCACGUUAUGGUGGGAACUCAUGGGAUACUGCCGGGGUCAACUCGGAGGAAGGUGGGGAUGACGUCAAAUCAUCAUGCCCCUUAUGUCUUGGGCUUCACGCAUGCUACAAUGGCCAGUACAGAGGGCUGCAAUACCGUAAGGUGGAGCGAAUCCCAAAAAGCUGGUCUCAGUUCGGAUUGAGGUCUGCAACUCGACCUCAUGAAGUCGGAGUCGCUAGUAAUCGUAGAUCAGCAACGCUACGGUGAAUACGUUCCCGGGCCUUGUACACACCGCCCGUC
This 1380-nucleotide ribosomal RNA is filed under the name uncultured bacterium. Its description in RNAcentral is "bacterial SSU rRNA". It matches the Rfam family "Bacterial small subunit ribosomal RNA". The record is from RNAcentral.